RNAcentral lists this ribosomal RNA (392 nucleotides) under uncultured Gammaproteobacteria bacterium. Its description in RNAcentral is "bacterial SSU rRNA". It matches the Rfam family "Bacterial small subunit ribosomal RNA", at positions 370 to 779 of the family's 1533-position model. The record is from RNAcentral. Lineage: Bacteria; Pseudomonadati; Pseudomonadota; Gammaproteobacteria.
AAUGGGCGCAAGCCUGAUCUAGCCAUACCGCGUGAGUGAUGAAGGCCUUAGGGUCGUAAAGCUCUUUCGCCAGGGAAGAUAAUGACUGUACCUGGUAAAGAAGUCCCGGCUAACUCCGUGCCAGCAGCCGCGGUAAUACGGAGGGGACUAGCGUUGUUCGGAAUUACUGGGCGUAAAGCGCACGUAGGCGGACCAGAAAGUAUGGGGUGAAAUCCCAGGGCUCAACCCUGGAACUGCCUCAUAAACUCCUGGUCUAGAGUUCGAGAGAGGUGAGUGGAAUUCCGAGUGUAGAGGUGAAAUUCGUAGAUAUUCGGAGGAACACCAGUGGCGAAGGCGGCUCACUGGCUCGAUACUGACGCUGAGGUGCGAAAGCGUGGGGAGCAAACAGGAUU